RNAcentral lists this ribosomal RNA (274 nucleotides) under uncultured bacterium. Its description in RNAcentral is "partial 16S ribosomal RNA". It matches the Rfam family "Bacterial small subunit ribosomal RNA", at positions 523 to 796 of the family's 1533-position model. The record is from RNAcentral.
AUACGGAGGGUGCGAGCGUUGAUCGGAAUUACUGGGCGUAAAGCGUACGUAGGCGGUUGGUUAAGUUAGAUGUGAAAGCCCCGGGCUUAACCUGGGAACUGCAUUUAAAACUGGCGAACUAGAGUUGAGUAGAGGGGAGUGGAAUUUCAGGUGUAGCGGUGAAAUGCGUAGAGAUCUGAAGGAACACCAGUGGCGAAGGCGACUCCCUGGACUCGAACUGACGCUGAGGUACGAAAGCGUGGGUAGCAAACGGGAUUAGAAACCCCAGUAGUCC